UCUCACCUUUUUUCUAACUAAUAAAUUUUACGGAAAAAUCAUUCUACAUCAUACAGUUAGAAAAGAAAGUGAACUCACAUUAUCUCAAUUUCUUUUCCAAUUAAUAAAUUUUACAGAAAAAAUCAUUCUACAUCGUACAGUUAGAAAAGGAACUGAACUCACAUUAUCUCACUUUUUUUUUCCAAUUAAUAAAUUUUACAGAAAAAAUCAUUCUACAUCGUACAGUUAGAAAAGGAACUGAACUCACGUUAUCUCACUUCUUUUUUUCCAAUUAAUAAAUUUUACAGAAAAAAACAUUCUGCAUCGUACAGUUAGAAAAGGAACGAAAAUAUAAUACUCUACUUUU
Molecule: long non-coding RNA, 346 nt
Filed under: Ananas comosus (pineapple)
Lineage: Eukaryota; Viridiplantae; Streptophyta; Magnoliopsida; Poales; Bromeliaceae
Description: long non-coding RNA (ACOM_LNC002817)
Source: RNAcentral